UUGGUUUUGGACAUCCUACAUAUCCCGAGUUGUAAGGGAAUCAGGUCACAUGUAGUUCAAAGAGAUGGGGUGAUGAGUUGGAAGUUAAGUGAGGUUCCAUCGAGGCUCCAAAUCUCGUCUCUUAUCCUUGAUUACAAAAGAGAUGAAAACUAAUAGUCAAAAGGAAAAUAAAAGUACAAGCUCCUAUCUAUGCAACUUCUCUUGAGUCUACACUUGAGUCUUGACUUUCAGAUAUCACCUUGAUUUUUGGGUGAGUAUCUUGAUCUUGAAUUGAAUUCGAUGCUUAACUUGCCACUUAGAGUGAGUUUUUGGCACUCUUCGAAAUGACAAUUUGAAUAUGUUAUUGAAUGACUGCAUGUUAUCUUGAU
Molecule: long non-coding RNA, 368 nt
Filed under: Solanum tuberosum (potato)
Lineage: Eukaryota; Viridiplantae; Streptophyta; Magnoliopsida; Solanales; Solanaceae
Description: long non-coding RNA (STUB_LNC010807)
Source: RNAcentral